RNAcentral lists this ribosomal RNA (497 nucleotides) under uncultured bacterium. Its description in RNAcentral is "partial 16S ribosomal RNA". It matches the Rfam family "Bacterial small subunit ribosomal RNA", at positions 28 to 507 of the family's 1533-position model. The record is from RNAcentral.
GAUGAACGCUGGCGGCGUGCCUAAUACAUGCAAGUCGAGCGAACGGACGAGAAGCUUGCUUUUCUGAUGUUAGCGGCGGACGGGUGAGUAACACGUGGAUAACCUACCUAUAAGACUGGGAUAACUUCGGGAAACCGGAGCUAAUACCGGAUAAUAUUUUGAACCGCAUGGUUCAAAAGUGAAAGACGGUCUGGCUGUCACUUAUAGAUGGAUCCGCGCUGCAUUAGCUAGUUGGUAAGGUAACGGCUUACCAAGGCAACGAUGCAUAGCCGACCUGAGAGGAUGAUCGGCCACACUGGAACUGAGACACGGUCCAGACUCCUACGGGAGGCAGCAGUAGGGAAUAUUCCGCAAAGGGCGAAAGCCUGACGGAGCAACGCCGCGUGAGUGAUGAAGGUCUUCGGAUCGUAAAACUCUGUUAUUAGGGAAGAACAUAUGUGUAAGUAACUGUGCACAUAUUGACGGUACCUAAUCAGAAAGCCACGGCUAACUACGUG